This 790-nucleotide ribosomal RNA is filed under the name uncultured bacterium. RNAcentral describes it as "bacterial SSU rRNA". It matches the Rfam family "Bacterial small subunit ribosomal RNA", at positions 62 to 853 of the family's 1533-position model. The record is from RNAcentral.
UCGAGCGAGCGUUUCUGCGGAAUUCUUCGGAAGGAAGCGGGAAUGACUUAGCGGCGGACGGGUGAGUAACGCGUGGGCAACCUGCCUCGUACAGGGGGAUAACAGUUAGAAAUGACUGCUAAAACCGCAUAAGCGCACAGCAGCGCAUGCUGCAGUGUGAAAAACUCCGGCGGUACGGGAUGGGCCCGCGUCUGAUUAGCUUGUUGGCGGGGUAACGGCCCACCAAGGCAGCGAUCAGUAGCCGAUCUGAGAGGAUGGCCGGCCACAUUGGGACUGAGACACGGCCCAAACUCCUACGGGAGGCAGCAGUGGGGAAUAUUGCACAAUGGGGGAAACCCUGAUGCAGCAACGCCGCGUGAGUGAAGAAGUAUUUCGGUAUGUAAAGCUCUAUCAGCAGGGAAGAGAAUGACGGUACCUGACUAAGAAGCCCCGGCUAACUACGUGCCAGCAGCCGCGGUAAUACGUAGGGGGCAAGCGUUAUCCGGAUUUACUGGGUGUAAAGGGAGCGUAGACGGCUGGCCAAGUCUGAAGUGAAAGCCCGGGGCUUAACCCCGGAACGGCUUUGGAAACUGGCCGGCUGGAGUGCUGGAGAGGCAGGCGGAAUUCCUGGUGUAGCGGUGAAAUGCGUAGAUAUCAGGAGGAACACCGGUGGCGAAGGCGGCCUGCUGGACAGUAACUGACGUUGAGGCUCGAAAGCGUGGGGAGCAAACAGGAUUAGAUACCCUGGUAGUCCACGCGGUAAACGAUGAAUGCUAGGUGUCGGGGGGCAAAGCCCUUCGGUGCCGCCGCA